This 242-nucleotide long non-coding RNA is filed under the name Notechis scutatus (mainland tiger snake). RNAcentral describes it as "Nuclear RNase P (ENSNSUG00000007903.1)". It matches the Rfam family "Nuclear RNase P", at positions 1 to 208 of the family's 301-position model. From Rfam's summary of the family: Ribonuclease P (RNase P) is a ubiquitous endoribonuclease, found in archaea, bacteria and eukarya as well as chloroplasts and mitochondria. Its best characterised activity is the generation of mature 5'-ends of tRNAs by cleaving the 5'-leader elements of precursor-tRNAs. The record is from Rfam by way of RNAcentral. Lineage: Eukaryota; Metazoa; Chordata; Lepidosauria; Squamata; Elapidae.
CCUAGAGGAAGCUCUCCGUAGAGGCCACAUGCUGGGUGUCCAUCACCCUUUGUCCCGCCUCUGGGGAGGUCUGAGAGAAGGGCCAAGUUUGCCACCCUAGCAGGGUGCCACCUUCUGAAGGGGGGUGAGUUCCCAGGAAUCCCAGCAAUGCACCCAGACACAAAAAGACAUUCACAUAGGAUUUGGCCCAAAGUGGGAAACAAAAUAAGUAGCAUUAAAACUCCGUGUUGUCCUCCUAUAAG